This 251-nucleotide ribosomal RNA is filed under the name uncultured prokaryote. RNAcentral describes it as "partial 16S rRNA". It matches the Rfam family "Bacterial small subunit ribosomal RNA", at positions 525 to 775 of the family's 1533-position model. The record is from RNAcentral.
ACGGAGGGUGCGAGCGUUGUUCGGAAUUAUUGGGCGUAAAGCGCGUGUAGGCGGUCUUUUAAGUCUGAUGUGAAAGGACUGGGCUCAAACCAGGAAGUGCAUUGGAAACUGGGAGACUUGAAUACGGGAGAGGGUAGUGGAAUUCCUAGUGUAGGAGUGAAAUCCGUAGAUAUUAGGUGGAACACCGGUGGCGAAGGCAGCUACCUGGACCGAUAUUGACGCUGAGACGCGAAAUCGUUGGGAGCAAAUAG